AACGAACGCUGGCGGCAGGCUUAACACAUGCAAGUCGAACGCCCCGCAAGGGGAGUGGCAGACGGGUGAGUAACGCGUGGGAAUCUACCCAAUUCUUCGGAACAACACAUGGAAACGUGUGCUAAUACCGAAUGAGCCCUUCGGGGGAAAGAUUUAUCGGAAUUGGAUGAGCCCGCGUUGGAUUAGCUAGUUGGUGGGGU
This 200-nucleotide ribosomal RNA is filed under the name uncultured bacterium. RNAcentral's name for it is "partial 16S ribosomal RNA". It matches the Rfam family "Bacterial small subunit ribosomal RNA", at positions 29 to 258 of the family's 1533-position model. The record is from RNAcentral.